UAGGGAAUCUUCGGCAAUGGACGAAAGUCUGACCGAGCAACGCCGCGUGAGUGAAGAAGGUUUUCGGAUCGUAAAACUCUGUUGUUAGAGAAGAACAAGGACGUUAGUAACUGAACGUCCCCUGACGGUAUCUAACCAGAAAGCCACGGCUAACUACGUGCCAGCAGCCGCGGUAAUACGUAGGUGGCAAGCGUUGUCCGGUUUUAUUGGGCGUAAAGCGAGCGCAGGCGGUUUCUUAAGUCUGAUGUGAAAGCCCCCGGCUCAACCGGGGAGGGUCAUUGGAAACUGGGAGACUUGAGUGCAGAAGAGGAGAGUGGAAUUCCAUGUGUAGCGGUGAAAUGCGUAGAUAUAUGGAGGAACACCAGUGGCGAAGGCGGCUCUCUGGUCUGUAACAGACGCUGAGGCUCGAAAGCGUGGGGAGCAAACAGG
Molecule: ribosomal RNA, 429 nt
Filed under: Gemmatimonadota bacterium
Lineage: Bacteria; Pseudomonadati; Gemmatimonadota
Description: Gemmatimonadetes bacterium partial 16S ribosomal RNA
Rfam family: Bacterial small subunit ribosomal RNA
Source: RNAcentral